This 29-nucleotide non-coding RNA is filed under the name Mus musculus (house mouse). The record is from RNAcentral. Lineage: Eukaryota; Metazoa; Chordata; Mammalia; Rodentia; Muridae.
UCUCUGUGUAGCCAGACUAACUUGGAUUU